Molecule: ribosomal RNA, 499 nt
Filed under: uncultured bacterium
Lineage: Bacteria
Description: partial 16S ribosomal RNA
Rfam family: Bacterial small subunit ribosomal RNA
Source: RNAcentral
GACGAACGCUGGCGGCGUGCCUAAUACAUGCAAGUCGAGCGAAGUUUUUCUGGUGCUUGCACUAGAAAAACUUAGCGGCGCACGGGUGAGUAACACGUAAAGAACCUGCCUCAUAGACUGGGACAACUAUUGGAAACGAUAGCUAAUACCGGAUAACAGUAUUUCUCGCAUGAGAGAGAUUUAAAAGUUGGUUAUGCUAACACUAUGAGAUGGCUUUGCGGUGCAUUAGCUAGUUGGUGGGGUAACGGCCCACCAAGGCGACGGUGCAUAGCCGACCUGAGAGGGUGAUCGGCCACACUGGGACUGAGACACGGCCCAGACUCCUACGGGAGGCAGCAGUAGGGAAUCUUCCGCAAAGGGCGAAAGCCUGACGGAGCAACGCCGCGUGAGUGAAGAAGGAUUUCGGUUCGUAAAGCUCUGUUGUUAGGGAAGAAUGGAUAUGUAGUAACUAUACAUGUAAGUGACGGUACCUAACCAGAAAGCCACGGCUAACUACGUG